This is a long non-coding RNA of Agrilus planipennis (emerald ash borer), 637 nucleotides long. RefSeq lists it as uncharacterized. The record is from RefSeq and is a predicted model, not a curated record. The transcript is spliced from 2 exons. NCBI's taxonomy places the organism in Eukaryota, Metazoa, Arthropoda, Insecta, Coleoptera, Buprestidae.
UUGAACAAUACGUUUCAUGAGUCUUCCAAUAUAUUUUAUUUCCAUUUGUUAUUUAAUUAAUUAUUAACAGACUCCAUAUCUCCAUAAAAGCAACGCAAACAAAACAUAUUGUUUUACAAAGCUAAAAAACUAUAAAUGUUCUAUAGUUACCUGCUUAAUAGGUAUUUCUAAGGAAUGUAUGAAAUAAAUGGUAUGAAGCACUUUUGCAACUCCAUUUUAUUUCAGGUAUAUUGUUAAAAAGAAGCAGGAUUCUUUGUGGAACUUGAUAGAAGGUGCCCAUGAUGCAUGGUCGGGGUGGUUGUGCGUCUUGAUAGUGGGUGUCCUCACCGGAUGCGUGGCAGGUGUUAUAGACAUAGGUGCCAGUUGGAUGACGGAUCUCAAAUUUGGAAUUUGUCCUCAAGCAUUUUGGUUAAACCAAGAACAAUGUUGUUGGUCCACCAACGAAACUACAUUCGAUGUUUUAAAUUGUUCUCAAUGGUUGACUUGGUCGGAGGUAUUGGGUCAAGCUCGAGAAGGAGUUGGUCCAUACAUAAUAUCCUAUUUAUUUUACAUUGUUUGGGCGCUUCUAUUUGCUGCCCUUUCUGCCUCUUUGGUGAGAAUGUUUGCACCUUAUGCAUGUGGUUCUGGUAUACCCGAG